AAUGGACGCAAGUCUGAACCAGCCAUGUCGCGUGCAGGAUGACUGCCCUAUGGGUUGUAAACUGCUUUUGUAUGGGAAGAAAGUGAGAUACGUGUAUCUCUUUGCCGGUACCAUACGAGUAAGGAUCGGCUAACUCCGGGCCAGCAGCCGCGGUAAUACGGAGGAUCCAAGCGUUAUCCGGAUUUAUUGGGUUUAAAGGGUGCGUAGGCGGUUUAAUAAGUCAGUGGUGAAAUCUUGCAGCUUAACUGUAAAAUUGCCAUUGAUACUGCUAGACUUGAGUAUAGUUGAGGUGGGCGGAAUGUGUUGUGUAGCGGUGAACUGCAUAGAUAUAACACAGAACACCAAUUGCGAAGGCAGCUCACUAAGCCGACACUGACGCUGAGGCACGAAAGCGUGGGGAUCGAA
RNAcentral lists this ribosomal RNA (405 nucleotides) under uncultured bacterium. Its description in RNAcentral is "bacterial SSU rRNA". It matches the Rfam family "Bacterial small subunit ribosomal RNA", at positions 370 to 772 of the family's 1533-position model. The record is from RNAcentral.